UGGCUCGUAGCCUGUUAGGUAAAGGCACCUGUCUUAUAAACAGGAGAUAGUGGGUUCAAAUCCCACCGAGCCAA
Molecule: transfer RNA, 74 nt
Filed under: Betaproteobacteria bacterium
Lineage: Bacteria; Pseudomonadati; Pseudomonadota; Betaproteobacteria
Also listed under: 1 other name
Description: tRNA-Ile
Rfam family: tRNA
About the family: Transfer RNA (tRNA) molecules are approximately 80 nucleotides in length. Their secondary structure includes four short double-helical elements and three loops (D, anti-codon, and T loops).
Source: RNAcentral